UGGGGAAUCUUGGACAAUGGGGGCAACCCUGAUCCAGCCAUGCCGCGUGAGUGAUGAAGGCCUUAGGGUCGUAAAGCUCUUUCGCCUGUGAAGAUAAUGACGGUAGCAGGUAAAGAAACCCCGGCUAACUCCGUGCCAGCAGCCGCGGUAAUACGGAGGGGGUUAGCGUUGUUCGGAAUUACUGGGCGUAAAGCGCACGUAGGCGGACCAGAAAGUUGGGGGUGAAAUCCCGGGGGCUCAACCCCGGAACUGCCUCCAAAACUAUUGGUCUAGAGUUCGAGAGAGGUGAGUGGAAUUCCAAGUGUAGAGGUGAAAUUCGUAGAUAUUUGGAGGAACACCAGUGGCGAAGGCGGCUCACUGGCUCGAUACUGACGCUGAGGUGCGAAAGUGUGGGGAGCAAACAGGAGUUAGAUACCCUGGUAGUCCACACCGUAAAACGAUGAAUGCCAGUCGUCGGGUAGCAUGCUAUUCGGUGACACA
RNAcentral lists this ribosomal RNA (480 nucleotides) under uncultured bacterium. RNAcentral's name for it is "bacterial SSU rRNA". It matches the Rfam family "Bacterial small subunit ribosomal RNA", at positions 355 to 850 of the family's 1533-position model. The record is from RNAcentral.